This 497-nucleotide ribosomal RNA is filed under the name uncultured bacterium. RNAcentral's name for it is "partial 16S ribosomal RNA". It matches the Rfam family "Bacterial small subunit ribosomal RNA", at positions 28 to 507 of the family's 1533-position model. The record is from RNAcentral.
GAUGAACGCUGGCGGCGUGCCUAAUACAUGCAAGUCGAGCGAACAGACGAGGAGCUUGCUCCUCUGACGUUAGCGGCGGACGGGUGAGUAACACGUGGAUAACCUACCUAUAAGACUGGGAUAACUUCGGGACACCGGAGCUAAUACCGGAUAAUAUCUUGAACUGCAUGGUUCAAUAGUGAAAGACGGUUUUGCUGUCACUUAUAGAUGGAUCCGCGCCGCAUUAGCUAGUUGGUAAGGUAACGGCUUACCAAGGCAACGAUGCGUAGCCGACCUGAGAGGGUGAUCGGCCACACUGGAACUGAGACACGGUCCAGACUCCUACGGGAGGCAGCAGUAGGGAAUCUUCCGCAAUGGGCGAAAGCCUGACGGAGCAACGCCGCGGGAGUGAUGAAGGUCUUCGGAUCGUAAGACUCUGUGAUUAGGGAAGAACAAAUGUGUAAGUAACUAUGCACGUCUUGACGGUACCUAAUCAGAAAGCCACGGCUAACUACGUG